Molecule: ribosomal RNA, 373 nt
Filed under: uncultured organism
Description: partial 16S ribosomal RNA
Rfam family: Bacterial small subunit ribosomal RNA
Source: RNAcentral
GUAGGUGGCAAGCGUUGUCCGGAAUUAUUGGGCGUAAAGCGCGCGCGGGCGGUUCUUUAAGUCUGAUGUGAAAGCCCACGGCUCAACCGUGGAGGGUCAUUGGAAACUGGAGAACUUGAGUACAGAAGAGGAAAGCGGAAUUCCACGUGUAGCGGUGAAAUGCGUAGAGAUGUGGAGGAACACCAGUGGCGAAGGCGGCUUUCUGGUCUGUAACUGACGCUGAGGCGCGAAAGCGUGGGGAGCAAACAGGGAUUAGAUACCCUGGUAGUCCACGCCGUAAACGAUGAGUGCUAAGUGUUAGGGGGUUUCCCGCCCCUUAGUGCUGCAGCUAACGCAUUAAGCACUCCGCCUGGGGAGUACGACCGCAAGGUUG